Molecule: ribosomal RNA, 330 nt
Filed under: uncultured Chloroflexota bacterium
Lineage: Bacteria; Bacillati; Chloroflexota
Description: bacterial SSU rRNA
Rfam family: Bacterial small subunit ribosomal RNA
Source: RNAcentral
GAUGAACGCUGGCGGCGUGCCUAAUACAUGCAAGUCGAACGAGGAGUCUUUGUAGCAAUACGGAGGCUUCCUAGUGGCGAACGGGUGAGUAACGCGUUGGUGACCUGCCCCAAAGUGUGGGAUAACAGACCGAAAGGUUUGCUAAUACCGCAUGUGGUCAUCGGAUUUAGAAACCGGUGACUAAAGCAGUAAUGCGCUUUGGGAGGGGCCUGCGUCCCAUCAGCUAGUUGGUAGGGUAACGGCCUACCAAGGCUACGACGGGUAGGGGACCUGAGAGGGUGGCCCCCCACAAUGGAACUGAAACACGGUCCAUACACCUACGGGAGGCAG